This 463-nucleotide ribosomal RNA is filed under the name uncultured bacterium. Its description in RNAcentral is "partial 16S ribosomal RNA". It matches the Rfam family "Bacterial small subunit ribosomal RNA", at positions 28 to 507 of the family's 1533-position model. The record is from RNAcentral.
GAUGAACGCUGACAGAAUGCUUAACACAUGCAAGUCUUUGGCGAAUCUGUGCUUGCACAGGCUAGCCAAGGCGGACGGGUGAGUAACGCGUAAAGAACUUGCCCUGCAGACAGUGAUAACAGACGGAAACGACUGAUCACACCUGAUACAGUUGCCGGCACGCAUGUGCCUGGCAAUGAAAAGAGAUGCUGCAGGAGAGCUUUGCGUCCUAUUAGCUUGUUGGUGAGGUGACGGCUCACCAAGGCGAUGAUAGGUAGCCGGCCUGAGAGGGUGAACGGCCACAAGGGGAAUGAGAGACGGACCUUACUCCUACGGGAGGCAGCAGUGGGGAAUAUUGGACAAUGGGGGCAACCCUGAUCCAGCAAUUCUGUGUGCACGAAGAAGGUUUUCGGAUUGUAAAGUGCUUUCAGAAGGGAAGAAGAAUGUGACGGUACCUGCAGAAGAAGCGACGGCUAAAUACGUG